ACCUUCGUGGUGUAGUGGUCGACACACUCGACACGUAUUCGAGAGGUCCGUGGUUCGAGUCCCAGCGAGGGCA
Molecule: non-coding RNA, 73 nt
Organism: Stegodyphus mimosarum
Lineage: Eukaryota; Metazoa; Arthropoda; Arachnida; Araneae; Eresidae
Source: Rfam